CGAGUGGCGAACGGGUGAGUAAUGCAUCGGAACGUACCCUAGAGUGGGGGAUAACUAUCCGAAAGGAUAGCUAAUACCGCAUAUUCUAUGAGUAGGAAAGCGGGGGAUCUUCGGACCUCGCGCUCUAGGAGCGGCCGAUGUCAGAUUAGCUAGUUGGUGGGGUAAAGGCCUACCAAGGCGACGAUCUGUAGCGGGUCUGAGAGGAUGAUCCGCCACACUGGGACUGAGACACGGCCCAGACUCCUACGGGAGGCAGCAGUGGGGAAUUUUGGACAAUGGGGGCAACCCUGAUCCAGCCAUGCCGCGUGAGUGAAGAAGGCCUUCGGGUUGUAAAGCUCUUUCGGCCGGGAAGAAAUCGUGUGGGCUAAUACCCUGCAUGGAUGACGGUACCGGAAUAAGAAGCACCGGCUAACUACGUGCCAGCAGCCGCGGUAAUACGUAGGGUGCGAGCGUUAAUCGGAAUUACUGGGCGUAAAGCGUGCGCAGGCGGUUUUUUAAGACAGGCGUGAAAUCCCCGGGCUUAACCUGGGAACUGCGCUUGUGACUGGAAGGCUAGAGUACGGCAGAGGGGGGUGGAAUUCCACGUGUAGCAGUGAAAUGCGUAGAGAUGUGGAGGAACACCGAUGGCGAAGGCAGCCCCCUGGGCCAGUACUGACGCUCAUGC
RNAcentral lists this ribosomal RNA (664 nucleotides) under uncultured bacterium. Its description in RNAcentral is "bacterial SSU rRNA". It matches the Rfam family "Bacterial small subunit ribosomal RNA", at positions 92 to 752 of the family's 1533-position model. The record is from RNAcentral.